GCCGCUCCUGCGAAGGCCAGAGCCAGGUCUGCCCCGCCCCUGCGGCCAGUGUGACCUUCGACGGUCCACUCUUUCGGAGAAGCCCUUAUCAAGAGCCUCCUCUGCAAGGCGUUUAGACCCUUGGCCCCCAGUGGUCUAAAUCUCUGCGCCCUCCACUCAUCAGCUACUGCCCGCCCCCACCUCUCUGCCUCCACGCGCCCUUCUUGCAAAUGCUCUCUGGAGCUUUAGUUACCCCGGACUAACUCCCCGGGUUUUUCUCCUCCCUCUCAGGCCACUGCCUUUCAGCCCCAGAAGUUCUCUUCCUCUGGGCUGGGUCCUGAGCCCGUUCCUAAGGCCUUUCCCAGGGCUUCACCCCCAGACCCAGGCAGCUGCAGCGCCAAAUCUGUAUAUCCCAAACACCCCACUGCCGGCUCCACCCUCCUCCUCAAACUGCUCUUCCGCUGUCUUCACUUUCUUAGAACAUGGCCCUAUUCUGAGAUGCUUGGGCCAAAACCCUUGGAGGUAUCCUUGAGCCCUACGUCUGCCUCUACCACCCGACAAUCUAGAAAGGCUUGUUUACCGUGGAAUAUCGCUACUCCACCCACAAGUACAACGUCUUUUCUCAUGCAGACUAUUUACCCUCCUUGGUCUUGCCUGCAUCUGUUCUUCAUGCGUCAGGUUUUAAAAAGAAAUUAAAUUGCAAUCCCCUACCUCUGGCCUCAAACCCUCCAUGACUUCCCAUUGCAGGUUAAAUCCACACUCCAUCCUGUUCCAGCUGGUCCUGUGCGGUCUGGCCCCUUUCGUUCCCUCCCACUUCAUCUCUCCCCACCACUCUUCACUCUCCAUUCUCCAGCCACAAGGCCUUUAAGUGGUUAUUUGAAUAAUUCACACUCCAUCUUCCUGAAGCCAUUCUCCUAGACUUUCCCCUGCAAUGUGGCCAUCCCGUCACAGAAACUGAAGUCACAGUGGAGCCGGUCUGACAAAUGUUGAGUCAGGCAGAGCAGGACAACUUCAGAGGUGAGAGGCCCAGCAGAGCACCCACCUGGUACCAGAGAAAGAUCCAGGUUUCUGGAAUUUGUUACUGAUGAGGAAACUGAGAUUCAGGGCCAGGCACCGAGGGGCUCCAGAAAUCUCUGUCAACAGGAGCUCAAGUUUUCAGUCUGCUGCCAGGCCCUUAAUCAGAAAACAAGGCUCUGUUUCCUCCUGGGACUUCUAAACCAGCAUCCCAGGCCUCAGAUGAAAAAAAAAAAUGAGGCACAGAGAGAUGAAGAGACAUGCUUAUGGACAUAGAACUGAGGUGGGAGAGACGGGAUUCAAACCUAGGCAACCUGGCUGUGGAGUCAAUGCUAUGUCGCCUCCCAGGCCCAAGGUGGAUUUGACGGAUGGGGGAGCUGCUGAGCAAGCCCCCGGAUACCUGGCUAACAUAGCACUUGGAGGCCGUCCCGCUUUGCCUAUAGCUGGACUUGAGCAUCACCGAAGAACCUGACAGGAGGGAGUUUCUCAGACCCUACACAUCAGGCCUCUGCUCCUGGACAACACUGAAGUGUAAGGAGGGAACCAAACCUACUGGAGAAAUUGAGAGGAAUUCUCUCCUGACUCCAGGCUCAAGCAUUUCUCAGCGUCUUUCACAUCUGGCCCUCACCUCCCUGUUCAGCCUCUUCCCUCAUCUCCACUGGCCAGCAUGGACCUAUCUUUUAGAACAGACCUACAACUGGCCUCCUCAUAUCCCAGUCCAGACGGCCUCUCGUUUGCAAAUUAUCUAUCCAUAGUAGAUGCGGCUCCCAUAAUUUUGCGGCCCCACCAUCCAGAUCCACAUCACCUUAGACUGCAAGUUCAUCAUGGACUUCUCAAAAGUUUUGGGUGGUGCCCUCUGAUGGUUACAAAGAAUUGCAACAGCUCGGUUGGCACGGUUAUAAGACAGGAUCUUUGCUGGGAUGUUCUCAUCAGCUGUGAAGAAACAUGAUGAUAGAAGAGUUAGUUCGUAUACCUGAGGAGAAUAUACCACGUGCCUUCCCCAACAUUUCUUCCUCAUGACUCUGCCAGCCCUCACCUCACUAAGAUGAUCAAGUGCUCCAAGACACAAGGUCAAAACCUGAGUCAAGAGUCAUCACCUUGUUUCAAAGGCCACCCCUCCUCCCUGCCACCCAAUGCAGCCUGAAGAAAAUGCAGAAUUGGGGCAGAAGAGGUCUGUAGAGGAGGGCAAGGCAGAAGGAUCACAAGCUUUAUGUUUUAAAAUCAUAAGGCAGUAUAUCUGUUUUACAAAGAAACAUUAAAGUGUCAU
This is a long non-coding RNA of Suricata suricatta (meerkat), 2260 nucleotides long. RefSeq lists it as uncharacterized. The transcript has 6 exons. Lineage: Eukaryota; Metazoa; Chordata; Mammalia; Carnivora; Herpestidae. The record is from RefSeq and is a predicted model, not a curated record.